This 437-nucleotide ribosomal RNA is filed under the name uncultured bacterium. Its description in RNAcentral is "bacterial SSU rRNA". It matches the Rfam family "Bacterial small subunit ribosomal RNA", at positions 958 to 1398 of the family's 1533-position model. The record is from RNAcentral.
AACGCGAAGAACCUUACCUGGCCUUGACAUCUACGGAACCUUGCAGAGAUGCAGGGGUGCCUUCGGGAACCGUAAGACAGGUGCUGCAUGGCUGUCGUCAGCUCGUGUCGUGAGAUGUUGGGUUAAGUCCCGCAACGAGCGCAACCCUUGUCCUUAGUUGCCAUCAUUCAGUUGGGAACUCUAAGGAGACCGCCGGUGACAAACCGGAGGAAGGUGGGGAUGACGUCAAGUCAUCAUGGCCUUUAUGGCCAGGGCUACACACGUGCUACAAUGGCAGGUACAGAGGGAAGCCAACGCGCGAGCGGGAGCCAAUCCCGAAAAGCCGUCUCAGUUCGGAUUGCACUCUGCAACUCGAGUGCAUGAAGUCGGAAUCGCUAGUAAUCGCGGAUCAGCACGCCGCGGUGAAUACGUUCCCGGGCCUUGUACACACCGGAGUA